GAUGAACGCGGGCGGCGUGCCUAAUACAUGCAAGUCGAGCGAACGGACGAGAAGCUUGCUGCUCUGAUGUUAGCGGCGGACGGGUGAGUAACACGUGUAUAACCUACCUAUAAGACUGGGAUAACUUCUGGAAACCGGAGCUAAUACCGGAUGAUAUUUUGAACCGCAUGGUUCAAAAGUGAAAGACGGUCUUGCUGUCACUUAUAGAUGGAUCCGCGCUGCAUUAGCUAGUUGGUAAGGUAACGGCUUACCAAGGCAACGAUGCAUAGCCGACCUGAGAGGGUGAUCGGACACACUGGAACUGAGACACGGUCCAGACUCCUACGGGAGGCAGCAGUAGGGAAUCUUCCGCAAUGGGCGAAGGCCUGACGGAGCAACGCCGCGUGAGUGAUGAAGGUCUUCGGAUCGUAAAACUCUGUUAUUAGGGAAGAACAUAUGUGUAAGUAACUGUGCACAUCUUGACGGUACCUAAUCAGAAAGCCACGGCUAACUACGUG
Molecule: ribosomal RNA, 497 nt
Filed under: uncultured bacterium
Lineage: Bacteria
Description: partial 16S ribosomal RNA
Rfam family: Bacterial small subunit ribosomal RNA
Source: RNAcentral